RNAcentral lists this long non-coding RNA (315 nucleotides) under Anas platyrhynchos platyrhynchos (common mallard). RNAcentral's name for it is "lncRNA (ENSAPLG00000029754.1)". The record is from RNAcentral. Lineage: Eukaryota; Metazoa; Chordata; Aves; Anseriformes; Anatidae.
GAAAGUUUAUCUCGGCGUUCCUGUCUGGCUGUGAAGGAUGGGGGGCCCUGGGUCUAACAGUUUAUGCAGCUACAGCAGCGCAGAUGGAUCAGAUCCACAGCUGAGUAUCUAAUUCUGCAAUUACAUAACGUGAAAUCUCCCACCUGCAUUGUGAUAAACAAGGCGUCAGACUUAUCUGAGAUCAGAUAUAAUUAUCAGGAAAAACCCUCAGUUUGGAGUGUGGCUCUUAGUGUCAGCUGGCUGCACAAUGAACUACAGCAACCCCUUAGUGAGCUGACACAUCUGGAGGAAAGAUCAGGUUUCCUCAUUACGUAG